UACAGAGGUCCCGAGCGUUGUUCGGAUUCAUUGGGCGUAAAGGGUGCGUAGGCGGCGGGGCAAGUCUGAUGUGAAAUCCCGGGGCUCAACCCCGGAACUGCAUUGGAUACUGCCUUGCUAGAGUACUGGAGAGGGAACUGGAAUUUACGGUGUAGCAGUGGAAUGCGCAGAUAUCAGGAGGAACACCGGUGGCGAAGGCGGGUCUCUGGGCCAUUACUGACGCUGAGGAGCGAAAGCGUGGGGGAGCGAACAGG
RNAcentral lists this ribosomal RNA (254 nucleotides) under uncultured bacterium. RNAcentral's name for it is "partial 16S ribosomal RNA". It matches the Rfam family "Bacterial small subunit ribosomal RNA", at positions 524 to 776 of the family's 1533-position model. The record is from RNAcentral.